Molecule: unclassified non-coding RNA, 288 nt
Filed under: uncultured fungus
Lineage: Eukaryota; Fungi
Description: partial contains 5.8S rRNA and ITS2
Source: RNAcentral
AACGCAACUGGCGCCGGUUUACCGGCAUGCCUGUUUCCGUGUGCUAGCAGAGUAAAAUAUCAUUAUAAAAUAUAAUGCGAUUGAGGUACAUUUAUGUUCUUCUUUCGUUAAAUAUGAAGGUGUGAAAGAUGAGUAAUCUAUCUCACUGGCAAACGAAUUAGUCAUGCUUGUUCAUGAUAUCGUUUAACCAAUGCUAAAGGUUUUUGCUUAGCUAUAAAUCACAUCUAAUCAAGUAAAUCUCUCCAAAUUUGGCAUCUGAAAUCAGACAAGGAUACCCGCUGAACUUAA